GCGGGAAUUCGAUUUUCCGGUUGAUCCUGCCGGACCCCACUGCUAUUGGGAUGGGACUAAGACAUGUUAGUCGAGCGUCUCUAAGCUAUGAUGGAGACGCGGCGCACAGCUCAGUAACACGUGGCUAACCUGCCCUUGGGACAGGGAUAACCCCGGGAAACUGGGGCUAAUACUUGAUAGGUGAGAAAUCCUGGAAUGGAUUCUCGCUGAAAGGGCGUCUAGAUCAUGCUUUUAGGCGUCGCCCAAGGAGGGGGCCGCGGCCGAUCAGGUUGUUGGUAAGGUAACGGCUCACCAAGCCUUUGACCGGUACGGGCCGUGAGAGCGGUAGCCCGGAGAUGGGUACUGAGACAAGGGCCCAGGCCCUACGGGGCGCAGCAGUCGCGAAAACUCACCAAUUCACGAAAGUGUGAGUGGGCCAUCCCGAGUGCCAUCCGCUGAGGAUGGCUUUUCCUUAGUGUACAAAGCUGGGGGAAUAAGGAGAGGGCAAGUCUGGUGUCAGCCGCCGCGGUAAUACCAGCUCUCCGAGUGGUGGGGAUGUUUAUUGGGCCUAAAGCAUUCGUAGCCUGCUGGGCAAGUCCUCCGUUAAAUCCAACGACUCAAUCGUUGGGCCGCGGGGGAUACUGUUCGGCUAGGGGGCGGAAGAGGUCGACGGUAUUCUCGGGGUAGGGGUGAAAUCCUAUAAUCCCGGGAGGACCACCAGUGGCGAAGGCUGUCGGCUAGAACGCGCCCGACGGUGAGGGAUGAAAGCUGGGGGAGCGAACCGGAUUAGAUACCCGGGUAGUCCCAGCCGUAAACGAUG
Molecule: ribosomal RNA, 799 nt
Filed under: uncultured archaeon
Lineage: Archaea
Description: bacterial SSU rRNA
Rfam family: Archaeal small subunit ribosomal RNA
Source: RNAcentral